GCCUGGGUGGCUCAGUGGUUGAGCAUCUGCCUUUGGCUCAGAGCAUGAUCCCGGGGUCCUGGGAUCGAGUCCCGCAUCAGGCU
Non-coding RNA from Canis lupus familiaris (dog), 83 nucleotides. NCBI's taxonomy places the organism in Eukaryota, Metazoa, Chordata, Mammalia, Carnivora, Canidae. The record is from Rfam.